UAGGGAAUCUUCNNNAAUGGGCGCAAGCCUGAUGGAGCAACACCGCGUGAGUGAAGAAGGGUUUCGGCUCGUAAAGCUCUGUUGUUAAAGAAGAACACGUAUGAGAGUAACUGUUCAUACGUUGACGGUAUUUAACCAGAAAGUCACGGCUAACUACGUGCCAGCAGCCGCGGUAAUACGUAGGUGGCAAGCGUUAUCCGGAUUUAUUGGGCGUAAAGAGAGUGCAGGCGGUUUUCUAAGUCUGAUGUGAAAGCCUUCGGCUUAACCGGAGAAGCGCAUCGGAAACUGGAUAACUUGAGUGCAGAAGAGGGUAGUGGAACUCCAUGUGUAGCGGUGGAAUGCGUAGAUAUAUGGAAGAACACCAGUGGCGAAGGCGGCUACCUGGUCUGCAACUGACGCUGAGACUCGAAAGCAUGGGUAGCGAACAGGAUUAGAUACCCUGGUAGUCCAUGCCGUAAACGAUGAGUGCUAGGUGUUGGAGGGUUUCCGCCCUUCAGUGCCGGAGCUAACGCAUUAAGCACUCCGCCUGGGGAGUACGACCGCAAGGUUG
RNAcentral lists this ribosomal RNA (550 nucleotides) under uncultured bacterium. Its description in RNAcentral is "bacterial SSU rRNA". It matches the Rfam family "Bacterial small subunit ribosomal RNA", at positions 355 to 896 of the family's 1533-position model. The record is from RNAcentral.